RNAcentral lists this unclassified non-coding RNA (251 nucleotides) under Hevea brasiliensis (rubber tree). The record is from RNAcentral. Lineage: Eukaryota; Viridiplantae; Streptophyta; Magnoliopsida; Malpighiales; Euphorbiaceae.
AGUUAGGUCAAAAACCCUAACUCAAAUUCACAAUCUCUUGCAAACACAUGCCAAUCAAUUUAAUUAUCAUAUAUACUCAUCAAUAACACUAAUAAACUCAAUUAAUUUCAUCAAACCUCAACUCAAUUCAUGGCUGGCAAAUUUUAGGAUUCCUACUUAUUAGUGGUUUUCUUUUGAUUUCAUGAAAUUUCAAGCUAAUUUAGAAUGCUUAUACUAAUUAAAGAAGAGUAAGGGUGUGUAUAGUGCAUUAA